Non-coding RNA from Acanthosepion pharaonis, 110 nucleotides. NCBI's taxonomy places the organism in Eukaryota, Metazoa, Mollusca, Cephalopoda, Sepiida, Sepiidae. The record is from the annotation of a GenBank genome assembly.
UACGACUAUAUCACAUGAAGCAUUACUUCCCGUACGAUCACUGAAGGUAAACAACGUUGAGUCUGUUGAGUACCAAGAUGGAUGACCGGUUGGGAAUACCAGGUGCUGAA